UACGAAGGGGGCUAGCGUUGCUCGGAAUCACUGGGCGUAAAGGGCGCGUAGGCGGCCAUUCAAGUCGGGGGUGAAAGCCUGUGGCUCAACCACAGAAUUGCCUUCGAUACUGUUUGGCUUGAGUUUGGUAGAGGUUGGUGGAACUGCGAGUGUAGAGGUGAAAUUCGUAGAUAUUCGCAAGAACACCAGUGGCGAAGGCGGCCAACUGGACCAAUACUGACGCUGAGGCGCGAAAGCGUGGGGAGCAAACGGG
RNAcentral lists this ribosomal RNA (253 nucleotides) under uncultured bacterium. RNAcentral's name for it is "partial 16S ribosomal RNA". It matches the Rfam family "Bacterial small subunit ribosomal RNA", at positions 524 to 776 of the family's 1533-position model. The record is from RNAcentral.